GAAAACCUGCGAUAAAGAAUGCAAGUACUGAACAGAGCCUCAGCCCUGCAUUAUGUAGAAGUUGAUGCCUCUUAAACCUCACAGCUAAACCCAGAAAAAACCAGGUGAAGCCUUGUAAUAAGACCACUAGCCAGCCAUGCAGAGGUAGAAUGGUGUUCUCUUCACUCAGCUUCUCUCCCACAAUCCAGAACCCCAAACCGAGAUAAACCAACCCUAAACUACCAUUAAGAAAGGCAGCAGAAUUUAGCAUUGUGGAAAAGCAUCUAGACUGUUGAGGGGAUAAGAUCUUCAUAGCUGAUGCUUUAUAUAUGAAGAUAAAUAAUAAGUAGAGCAAGACGAUGAUGUCAACAGAAAUGACCAAAAUAUGAUUGAGACAUGAACAUGGACAGACGAUGGCUAGGAACCCAGAACUGCAUAUCUUUCCAAUUUUACUCCAACACCAGGAACUUCCACAGAAAACAGUCCAGAGACUCUCACCCAUGUUGUAUCUUCUUGCCUUCACAAAACUGUAGCUGUAAUAAAGUAAAGAAAACAAAGGGGUUAUUUAUUAGAUUUUUGGUGUUUUAGACUUGGGAAGUAGUACUAAACAUGAGAACCAUCAAUGCAUGCCUAAUAGUUUCAAUUUUCAGUUGAAAUUAAAAGUAAAAUUUAUCAUACAGGACUGAUCUAAACUUAAUUUCACAACCCCAGGUGCCUAAGAUCAGGAGAAAGAAUCCAAGAACAACUGAACUGAGAUUGAAGAGAACUGACUAAAGACAUAGAACACAAGAAAUUGCAGAAAAAAAGUAGGGAGAAUGGGAUCCAAUGGAGAUGAAUCAAACAUGAAAUCAGAAGAAGAUGUGAACAAGUUCAGGAAACUUAUGCAAAACUCCCCAUUUUUCCGUUUGAUUGUUGAGAAAAAUGCUGGAAAGUAAAUGAAAACCUUAAAUCUCAUAACAAGUAGGGGAUGGAGUGGUAGUUUUAAGAUUGCAAAACUUCUUUUCUUUUACCAUGAGUCUCAGUAACCAAACACACAAACAACCCCACUAGAUCUGUUCUCUCAAGCUGAAAGGAUGAACCCAAAAAAUACGAGAACAACAAGAUCAAACACUUACCUUAGGAUACGUUGGACAAUGAUGUCAAACCAAACCAGAUUUUUUUAUUUAAGCUAAAAUUUCAGUCCAAAUUCCAAAUACUGAACAAAGACUUGAGCAUUUAAGGUAGAAAAACAGAACCCAGAAGAGGAAAAUAAUAGAAAAUUAAUAUUCACAAUGCACCGAGUCAGCCCACAAGAAAAUGAAGCGUCAUAUGAAGGACCCAGGAAUUCAAAGCAAUUAAUGAAGAAACAGACAGAAAGAUGGAGCUACUUCAGAGAGUGAAAAGUGAAAACCAUCUUGAACCAAUUAUAGAAAGCACAGAACAUGGUGGUGGACAAAAUAUUAUGCUGAAGAAGUGCUACAAAAUCCAUAUAGGUAAAAAACCUGCAUAGGCCAUCCAGAAUCUCACCAUCCCUCAUCAAAUCUGUCUGUUUUUUCUCCUUUUUUUUCCCUUCUUUUUUAGUGAGCAUAGGUCAUUCAGAAUAUCACUCUGCCUCAUCAAAUCAUGGGUGUUCAUCUCGCCCUCUUCUACACCUCACUGCUCUCUUUCCUUGCAUUAUAUUAAUGUGUUGUUCCACUCAAACGACAAAUCGAGUUGUUCUCAUGCUUCACGAUGUCGUUGUUGAGGGAGAAUAUUAUCAAGUCUCUGUGUAUAUAUUGUUUCUGUCCACUUCUAUGGAAUUGAUUCUCUAGCUAUAUGGUUAGGUUCGACUGAUGGAAUCAUUUCAUUAAUCUCAAAGUCACCCUCAUUCUCUGCUCCAAUGAUUUUAUUUUUAUAUUUUAUAUUAAAAAAUGACAUUCAGACUGACGUGAUCAACAACACCAUCAGAAUUCUCUUAACCCAACCCUGGGCCUACUACCUUAUAAUUUAAGUUUUUAAAACGAUUUUCGAAAAAAUCAUUUUCAAAAAUAAUUUUAUGAUAGUUUUUAAAAUAAAAUUAAGAAUUUGAAUUAUUUUUUAAUCUAUCUUAUAUAUUUUCAAAUAUUUUUUAAAAAUAAUUUUUAUUUAUAAUAUUUUAUUUUUAUUAAUUCUCUGUAUUUAUAUAAAUAUUUCUUAAAACAAUUCAAAAAAAUAAGUAAAAAUAGUUAAAAUAUGUUAUCACAAAAUAUCAAAACAAGUUCUUAAAAAUAUAUUUUUUGUCAAAAAAAUCACUAAUGUUUUUGUGGACCCCGCAUUUUCGGCUCAUGCGUUUCCCACUCGAUGGCGAGCUCGAUUUUUAUUUGAAAAAUGAUUUUUAUUGAUUAAGAAAAUGACUUGGAGUCGCCACUUAUUUUUGUUUUAUUUUUAAAAGGGUAAACAAAAUAAGAAAGAAAAACCCUAAGUGUGACUCUUUAUUUUGGAAAAGACGGUCUACGAAAAAUCGGGUCGAGUUCAGGGGUCAGGUUACUUAUCGGGAAGGUACGGUAAGGACCGUAGCACCCUUCUAAGUCCCUAAAGUCGGGUCUCUACUAAUAAAAUGAAGCAAUCAUGACAAUUGAUGAGGGAAUCAAUGAAUACUUAGAGUGAUCAUGCAUAUGUGAGAAUCUAAACAUGCGUAUAGAAAAUGACCCAAGCGGGUGUGGAUGCGUACCUGGGCAGUGAUCCAUAAAGCGCUAUCAAGAAGUGAAGUUAGCGCACAAUUAAAGAAUAAUUUCGAGCAUGUCAUAGAGCAUAAUAAAAUCGAUCAUGCAUGGCAAUUAAAUCAAACAAACAAUCAAUCAAUCAUGAGGAAAUCACAUGUGUUGGGCCCCCACCAAAACCCGAUUUAUAUUACAUGAAUUAAUCCCAUAAAUUCCAUUAUUCGGAAUUACGAAAAAUUCGUUUCUGCUUAUUAAAGUCAAGAGGAGCAGAAGAUUGUUUGAAAGCCAGAGCGGAAUUAAAACUAUUUGGGAGAAAAUUAGAUUUUUGAAAUUUAUUAGAAAAUUGGAAUCUUGAAGAUCACUAGAAAAUUGGAAUUUAGAAAUUAACUUUAGGAAUUGGAAUUUAGGAAUUAAAUUUUAAAGAAAUUGGAAUGUUGAAAAUUAUUUGAGAGUUUGGAACUAUUAAAUUAUAAAAAUUGGAAACUUGGAAUUCAUUUGAAGGUGAAAUUUUUGAAAAUAAAUAAAUAAAAUGAUGACAAUAAAUAAAUAAAUAAAUAAACAAAUGUGAAAAUUGAAAAUUUAGAAAUUAGAAAUUAAAUUUGAAAAUUGGAAAUCGAAAUUUUGAAGAAUUAUUUAAAAAUGGAAUUUUAAAAAUAAAAUAAUAAUAAUAAUAACAAUAACGAAGAUAGUAAUUAUUAAAUAAAUAAAUAUAAAAAUUGAAAUUUUAGAAAUUGGAAAUUAAAUUUAAAAAAUUAAAAAAAUGAAAUUUCGGAUAUUAGAGUUUUGAAUAUUAAAUUGAGAAAAUGAAGUUUGAAAAAUUAAUUUUAAAAGAAUUCAGAAUUUUAAAAAUUAAAUUUAAAAAUUAAAUUAAGACAUCAACAUAUGAAAGAAUUAAAAAAAAAAAGAAAAAAUUUGAGAUUGGUAGUGGGUUGGUCUUGUCGGUGGUGAUGAUGGAAAUUACAACAUGGAAUGAUGGUUGGCUUUUAUGGAUAAAAAAAAAAAAAAAAAAAACAUUUGACUAAUGAUGAGAACUGGAAAUUGAGACUUUUAAUGGCACUCUCAUAAUAUGCUACUCCCAAAAUCAAAGGCAAACUAAAGUUAGCAUUGAUGGCGUUUUAUGAGAGAGAUAAGUUUCAUGUUCCUGCUGCGCAGACUUGCUGGCAUCCUCUCGUCUCUGCACAGCUCCGCCAAGUACUCCAGCCGAGAUCUUCUUGUCCCUUCACAAAAAUACAUCAGCGUGUUUUCCUUCGCCGAGAACUGUAUGGACCAGCUUCUCCCGUCCAAAGAGGCGGAAAUCCUUGGCUUUGACGGACGACGGCGACGCUGUUUUAUCAGGAUUGGAAACGGAGUCGGACGAUGACGAAUCAUGGCCUUGCAACUCGUUGGUGAUCUUUUCCAGCGAGGAUUCAGAUGCGGCUCUCGAACCUUUGGCGUGUUCAGCCAUUUUUAUCGGACUGGGAUCCGAAACACAGUCCUAUCGUGUCGGCGAAAUGAGAGGGGAAGAUGAUACUUCAGGGACAGAAACAAGAUUCCGAUGAAUGAAAAUGGAGCUGAGAGAGUGGCGACGAUGGAAAGAGAAAUGGGUUCAUAUUAGUGGAAAAAAACAUAUACAGAGUCAAAACCAAACUGCAACCCAUGUCUCUGGUGUCUCAUGAUGGAUAAGACGAAGGCCUUCAUCAGUUUCUCAAGCUGGAUCCAUGGAACAGAGAAAGAACCAACAGCACAAGGGUAUAAACGAACACAUAAAGCAACAAAGACAUCCAGUAGAAUGAUACCCAGAAUAAAAAAAUAUGGUUCACAAUGAACGUACCUGGAGUGCUUCCUGGAGUCGGAUUUGCUCCCCUUCCCCUCAGCUUUCCUGCCCCAGCCCCAAAGAAAUACAUAUAUUUUUUCUCUGCUGGCAGCUUCUUCUCCAAGCUGUCUCUCGCUGCCACCAGCAGCUCGCCUCAUCCCAUCCCAUGGCCGCCCAAAGCAGCUCGUUUCCCGGUGGUCAGAGAAGUAAUCAUAUAAAAAUGGCCAAAAACUCCUCCUCCCCGGUAGGGGGUCUACAGUUUAAUUUUUAAGAAUAGAAAACUAUUUAAAAAAUGAUUUCUAAACAAGCUUUAGCUUUGAAGUUGGUAUCAUUCUAGAAACAUAAGGUUAUGUUUAAUUUUUGAAAAGCAAUAGAGAAAUAAAAAAAAUAUUAAAGAAAAUGAUUUUUUUAAUAUUUGAUUUCAUUACAAAAAAAAUGAAAGAAAAUCAAGUAUAAUUAAAAUUAAUUAAAAAAUUAUUUGUUUUUAAAUUAUUUUAAUCUAUAUAAUGAAGGGAAAUAAAUGAAAUAAAUUUGAAGAAGUAUAUAAAAAUAAUUUAAUAAAUUUAUUUAAAUCUGUUUUUUUUUUCUUCCUUUUUUUUCUUUCCUCUUACUUUUUUAGUUGCAUUUUUUUCUCAAAUUUUUCGGUAAUCAAAUAUAGUUUAAAGGUUAGUAUACAUUAUUAAACAAUUAAUGAAUAACUUAAACUUUUGGUUUAAAUAGAGUGGGUUUAGUUUAAGAAUAUUAACUAUUUGUAAACUUGUUAGUUUUAUUUUUUAUUUUUUAUUUUUUAAAAUUCUUUGCAGUUUCAAAUAUUUCCUAUUGAAGUAAUUUAAUGGGAGUUAAAUAUAUUAUAAAGGAAAACAUUUUCGAAGUUGAAGUCUCUACAUGCAGUGAUAUAAACUAACACUUCAAACACAUUCAUACAUGCUCUACCCUUAAUUAGUCGAAAAUUUAAAGAGACUGAUUAUGUUAUUGAAAUUUUCAAUUUUAAACUUUGAUAUAUAUAAUUAAAUUAACUAUUAUCUUAUUUUUAAUUUUUUUAAUGCUUAAAAAAAAUAUUGAGGAAAAAAAAGAAAAAAAAAUAGAUUUUACAUUAAUAAAUUAUUUUUAUUUGUUUUUUCAAAUUUAUUUAAUUUAUUUAUAUAUAUAAAGAUUAUAUAAUUUUAAAAACUAUAAUGGUAUAUUCAUUUUUAAUUAUAUUUUAUUUAAAAAAAAUCUAUGAUAAAUUAAAUAUAAGUGACUUAUUUUCUUUAAUAUUUUUUCUAUAUUUUUAUGCAACUUAAAUCAUGAUGAAAAAGAAAAAGAAAAAGAAAAAAGAAAUAUUGGUCAUAUUUUAUGCAUGAUAAAGAAAAAUUUCUUUGGGUGUGAUUUAAACUUUAAAAAAAAAACCAAUUUAUUUUCAUGUUGGGUUAUUUGGUUAGAAGGAUGAAAUAAUUCUCAAUUAAAAAUUUUUUUUUUAAUAAAAAUAAUUUUAUCUUUUAAAACUUAUUGGCAGAUUAUCUAAAUAUUGAUCUCAAAAAUGUAUUAUUUUUAAAAUUUUAAAAUUUAAAAUUAUUUCAUCCUUUUAAUCAAUUUAUUUUAAAAAAUUCUCUUUAAUUUGGUUCAAUCUUUUCAAUGGACCUCAACUUUCCAUAUUGGUAGAUACCUUGAGAAAGAUGUCUGCCAAUCAAGGUCAUGAAGCAAGGCAUCCAAAACUCCUUAGCAGAUAGAAUUAUUAUUUUGAAGUUUAAGAAUGAGAAAAUGACAUCAUUUGUAAUUAAUUUUUGGUUUUGUAAGAUUAAGAAUGAGAUUAGAAAAUAUACUUUUGGAUGGAAUAUUAUAAUCGUAUUAAUAUAUUUAGAUUAAAAUAAUUUAUUUAGAUUGAAUAUUUUAUACCUAAUCUCUAAAUGUAGCGAUGGAAUAUACUCAUAUUUGAUUCUAAUAAAGUGAUAGGAAGAAAGAAAACUCGGAAAAAAAUGAUCUUUUAAAAAAAUACAAAAUUAAAUUAAAUUAAUUAAAAUUUAAUAUACUUUUAAAUUAUUUAAUAUUCACAAGACUUUAUUUAAUUUAUGCUCCAAUAAUACACAAAAAUGCAAAUUAAUUAAAAAUCAAAUAACUUAUUUUUUAAAGAAAACGUAAAUUACAAAUUUCAUGAUGUUUCAUUUUACACAAAAAUGAAAGAUUAAAAAUGGUUUCUAAUUUGUCCUUACAAAAAAUGUGACAUUAGGUGGAUUCCUUGAGACAUGGUGGACUGAUUGGUACCUAAGUUAUGAUGAUGUCUUCUCAUACAUUUCUUUUAAACUCAUCAAAUCAUUAAAGGGAAUGUAUCUAAUAAAUUUAAAAAGAAAUUCCUCACUUUUUUUCUUAUUAACAUUUGUUUUAUCUUUCAUUCCUUAUGAAUUCUAAAUUAAUGUUUUCUUUGUUAUAAUUAUUAUGAAUGGACAUCCACAUUAAUUAGUCUUUGACAAUUUAUUUGUGAAAAUGUAUUUAUAGCAAAAAAAACAAAUCAUGCCUAAAAUCAGGUCAAAUUGUUUUAAUUAUUCAAAUUGACUUUUUAAUUAGUAAUAAGAUUAAGUAUACAAGUCUUAUUUGGCUGUUCUAGGAGUAACUAUUGAUGAAUAUUAUGGCAAAUUUUUUUACUAAAGAGAUUUAUUACCAUGAUAUUAAAGAAGGUGAAUAAAUUUUUUUCUUAAAGUCUCAAAGAAUGAAGCAACAAUAGAUCAUGAUCCCAAAAUCUCUAUCAAUUUCUUCCAUCUUUAUAUUUCCAAUUAAAAGCGUAGUAACUUGGUUAUAAUUAGAAUAUCUUUCUAGUUUGUGUUUAACUAACUAAAAAGGAAAAAAUAUUUUUUUGUUAUGCGGUUCAUUUUAUACUAGGAAUUACCUUUAAAGUGUUUUUAUAAAAAUUUAUGAUAAUUUUAGUAUUUUAAAAAAUUUUCAUUGAACAUAAGUCUAGUUUUUCGAUUGUGUUAUAGGAGUUUUAUCUAAUAAGAUCAUGUCUGAUAUGUUUUUUACCGUAAAGAAGUGGAAGUAGAAAUGAUUACUUUUGUUAUAUAAUUGAUUUUAUAUUUAAAACUAUAUUUUAAAAAUAUGUUUAGCAAAUAUAAAAAUAAUUUAUAUUUUUUAAAAAUUAAUUAAAUAAAGCUUUGAUUCUAACAUCAAAGCAUUUACAUUUUCAAAAAAUUGAUGAAAAAUUGAUGAUCAAGAAAUCUAAGAAGAAUUAUCUUUGGUAUUUAAAGGAUGAUUUUAAAGUUCAAAUGACUCCCAAGUGAAACUUGAAUGCAAUCAAAGCCUAUAACACCAUUGGAAAUAUUAUUAUUUCAUUAUUUUAUUUAUAAAAAUUUGCACUCUACUACAAAAUAAUAGAACUAUAUAGUAGUUUUAUUAUAUAUAUGUGACUUGAGUCAUAACUUGGGUUUUGGUAUGACUUAGGUGGAAAUUGUUUUUUUUGGUUUUUUAGUUAAAGUAAUUUGUUUUCAGAAUUUAUGCUGUUUAUUUUUCUAUUUUUUCAUAAUUUAUUAUAAAUUUUUUACUAAAUAAAAAAAGUCAAAAUAUAUUACUUUUUUUAAAUAGAAAAAAUAACAUAUUUGAAAAUGUGAAUCUCAAUAAUGAACUACACCUAGAGGGGGGUGAAUAGGUGUUGUAGAACAAUUUAAAAAUUCUCUCAACAAAGAUUACCUAACCUUAGACUAUCUUAAUGUCAAGAAUUUUUUUCUUCCAAUAACUUUUCAACAAAGCAAAACAUCCACAAGCAAUAAUGUAUACAUCAACACUCUCCCAACAAUUUAUCAAUGUAAAACACAUGCAAAUGCUUCAACACUCCUAAAAAAUAAAUCAAAAUAUAGAGUGAGAGAAAGAGACAAUGAACACCGGAUUUUUAACGUGGAAAACUUCCGAAGAGAUCAAAAACCACGGGCCUAUCACCGAUUGAAAACUCCACUAUGAAGAAUAAAAACUGAGUACAAGGUUUUACCUAACUCAAGCCAAUCAAUCCUUCCCGGAAUACUUGACUAGUACCUUCAUUUUCAGCUUCUCCUGUUGGAGCACACUUGGAGUCCGCACCAAGCUCAAUCUCGGCCUCUUCUUGAAUCCACACAAGAAGAAAAUGGGUUUUUACAUAAACCCAAAUAGAAUGAGAGAUUGAGAUGUGAAUGAAGGAAUGAAUCAACCCAUUUAUUGCUCAAGAAAAUCCAUUGAAAACUAGUUUGGAAAAUAUUAAGAGAAGUGGAUUUUCUUUGCAAUCAAAAACCCUAAAUUAGGAAAGCAAAAAUGAGAAAAUGAAGAACACUUGGAGUGUGGCUGCUCUCCCCACGUUUUCUGCAGUCUCUCUUACCAGAAAAUGAGAGAAGAUUGGUUUUUAAAGUGUAAAAAGAAACCCUUAAUCUAAUGGCUGAGAUUUGAUCAAAAAAACAUUAGUUGGAUAGAUCCACCCCUACACUUGGAUCGAUCCAGAAACAGAAGAAUGAAAGCUUUGCACCAAAAACCAUUUUUCUCAACUUUCUAACACAUUUAAAGAUUAAAAACCGGGUUGAUUCACACUCAAUCACUCCACACUUGACUACAUAUCUCGGCCUCUUAGCAAAGUCUUAGUUUUCAAAGUCAAGUAGUACAAAUAGGAAUAGGAAAGCCGAGUUAGGGGACACUUAGGAAUUUUGUCCGGAAUUGCCAACCUAGCUAAACACUCACAAUAUUGAUUUUUUUUUUUAAUACUUAAUAGAAAUAAAAUAUUAUAAAAACAAACAACCUAAUAUUUAAUACUAUUAAACAUUAAGUACCUAUUUAGAAUUAAGUAAAAAAACAAACACCACCUUAACCAUAGUAUCAUUUGGGCUUCCAUGACUACCCUGUAGCAACUGGACAAUAGAUGCUAUGGUCCAUGACUACUCUUUAACAAGAGACUUCCGAUAAAACAGGACCUAAAAAACCAUAACAAUCCAGCUCAUCAUGCAGCAACCUGACCAAAGAGCCGCUUGCGAAGCUGCAGUGGGAAGAAAACAAGAAAAUGGUUAAAGAAGAAUGGCCACACAUGGAUAAACUAAGGCUAUCAUUCACCAUCAAAUUUGAGAGACACAUGCCCAUAUAAGAUGAAUGCAGCAGAUAAUCUAAAGAUGAAAUAUCCAAUUGACUGAUAAUUGGGUAUAUAAACCAAUUAACUGGGAAAAAAAAAUGAACUUAAGAAGGAUGAAUACCCCUGGAAGUUUUUUUAUGAAAUACAACAUCCAAUCUUGCAUCAAGGGUGUUCUCCCAUAAAAUUUUUCUACCAGAGGGAUUUUCCAUCACUUUUCUUUCAACAAAAGCUGUUUCAUCCAUGUUUAUAUAUUUCCCACAACCAGUCCGAUAUAAAGAGUAAAAGAUGCAUGAGUUAUAUAUUAUUUUUUUGAAAAUGAAAGAUCAGCCAGCAGUCUCACAGAAAGAGUACAUUUGUACCUUUACAAACCUUUCCACUACAUAACAACUGUUAGUAAGCAAAACAGACCAUAUGCCCACAAAAAAUGGGAGGAUCAAAGUUUACGCUUCUGCCAGUGAUCCAUUUCCAAUACCUCAAGUUAGUGUUUAAGUCCAUGAUCUAGGUUUCUUUCUUUUUUCUUUUUUUAUUUAUUUUCCUUUUUUUUUAAGGUAAUAAAAAGAGAACACCCUGGUCUGCUCAACCUGUUUGGGCAAAGUAAAAUUUGGGCAAAUUAGCUGAGUUUAUAUUGACCUGAACCACAAGAUCUUUGAGAAGCCUUUUAUAGACAUGGUGAUCAUGUCCAGAGACGAUGUUUUAAAAUGCAAUUCAUUAUUGCAUAUUGAUACUAUCCAGUAGGUAGAAGUAGAACCGUAGAACAACUCAUAACUGCAAAAGCAUACCAUUAGCCUUCAAAGCCUGUUUAAGUUUCAGAGCCAAUCUCCUGAGGCGUUACUGCCAUUUGAAGAUCGAGACCAGUACUCCGUGACAAGCUGCCCAAACAGCGAUCCCUCCUUCUUUAUCAGUUUCAUUGGCACAUCGUACUCUACUAAUUUUCCUACGGAAGCAAAAGCACUAGUUAUUUGAAUUUGUUUUACCAUAUUGAUCCCAACUAGAAUGAAAUGUUCCUUCGUAGAAACUCACCGUCACUGAUAGCAAGCACCAUUGUGCAGUCCAUCACGGUUGGGAUUCUGUGGGCUACUGUAAUUACAGUGCAGUCUGCAAAUUCUGUUCUUAUGGUCUUCUGGAGAAUGGAGUCUGUUGCAUUGUCUAUAGAUGCAGUGGCUUCAUCAAGCACUAGUAUCCGACUUCUCUUCAGUAGGGCACGUCCCAAGCAGAAUAAUUGUCGCUGGCCCAUGCUCCAAUUUGAUCCGUCAUGUACAACUGUAGGGCAGACAGAUUGUUAGCAAGAGUUUUUGAAUCCAAAGAAUGGUACCAGUGUGUUUUAUGUUUCAUACCUAAGGAGUCCAGGCCCUCUUCUUUCUCUUGAACAGCCCCUCGAAGUUGACAUUUUCCCAGAACCUUUCACACAUUCAUGAGAAACAAUCUUAGUGUAGGAUAUAAAGUAAAUUUACCUUAUUAGGAAUCUGUACUUUUUGAAGGGACUACCACGACAAAUAUUUGGUAUGGAAAGAAAAUUAGGAGGUAUUUAAUAGCACUCUAAAACAUCAUUGUGUUCCAAAACACAGAAUAUCAGGAGCUCGAUCAAUGACAAUGGAAUUCAAAAUCUGACAGCGUUUAAUUAGUUUGUUAGUGUAGAAACUGCAAUGUCUAUGCACUUAAGAGUGAAGCCUGCUUCAUAUCACUGGCAGAAUCUUUUGGAGAUCUGUAACAUAUCAUGAUUGAAUCCUAAAAUUAGCAACCACAACAAAUUAAUAGGAAACUAACCUCCCAUAUUUCCUCAUCAGUAUGCAGCGAUAAAGGGUCAAGAUUGUAUCUUAUAGACCCGCUAAACAGAGUUGGUUCUUGUGGAAUGAUCCCAAGACGUGAUCUGAGAUCAUGAAGCCCAAUUGUGGAAAUAUUUAUGCCAUCUAUAAUUAUCUGUCCCUCUGUAGGCUCUACCAAGCGAAACAAAGCGCUGAUAAGAGUUGUCUUUCCACUACCAGUCCGGCCAACGAUCCCAAUUUUCUGUCCUCCUCCAAAUUUGCAACUGAUUCCUUGAAGAACUAGAGGAGCAUUGGGCCGAUACUUGACCUGCUCAAUGUCAUUUCAUCUACUAUAUUAAUCUCUAUAAAUCUUGAAGUUGUAGAACAGAAACAGAUACCCAAAUUCUUACUGAUUUCACCAUACCUUCAAAUCAUAAAUUUCCACUUCACCAAUAGUAGGCCAACUGGGUGGCGGUCGAUUACUCCCUAUGACUUCAGGGGCUUCGCUAGGAAUAUUCAUGUACUGUUCUAAUCUUUCAACAGAAACAAUCAUAUUUGCUAAAAGGCACUGGCUUUGGGCAGAAAAUACGAAGAAUACAUUCACUGAAAGGCCAUACGAUAAUGCCAUUCCAAUAAAUCCUGCCAUCAGAACAUUGACGACGAAAAUGCUCAUUAGACAAUAAUACCAUAAAUGGUUGUCAAUUACUAAGAUUUCUUUAAAUAUCACAUUGACCAAGCUGUUUUUGAAUAUCAAAUACUGUGCACGUAGGAAGUUAGUAGAAGGGUUUUUCUUUUGGAUUAUGCACUGAUCUGUUUGUAUGAUUAUUGUGUAAGAAUCAUGGACUUGUUAGCUCACUUUGUUCUUGAUAUAACCCAAGUUUCUAGUUAUGAUGUUGAGAAAGUUGGAGCUAAAAUGGGUUUAUUAUAGUGAUUUUUUAUUACUACCAACUGGGCAGCUGUUGUUUCAUGAUCUACAAAGCCCUAUCUUGUAUUCAUUUCACUCCACUCAUCAAGGUCAAGUAGGAAACUAAGAUAGGUAACUUUCCUAUUUAAUGUUGGAUAUUUUAUUGGAUUUUAGGUCAUUACUGAAGUGCCUCUAAAUAUUUCAUUCUCCUGAAGUUCCUUCUUUUCAGUGAGAAAUAUGAAAAUUUAGUGGAGACCCUGGGUUGUAGAUCUCUUUCUUUUACAGUUAAAAACAUAUGCUAUCUAGCAAGCAGUCAUAGCAGGCAACAGAAAAGCAGUUUUUGUCUUGAGGUUUUGAUCCUUUUGGAGAAUUUACCAUUUGUGGCCAUAAUCAGACACUUCAUAUUUAUCAUUUUCUGGUUGUAGAUCUUACCUACUGAAAAAUCCUAAUGGUAUCCUCUUGUAAGGAUCAAAAUUCACAUGAUCAAUUACUAUUCUCAAAGUUGCACAGGCCCCCUUAGGUUAAACAUGUUAUAAACUUCUAGGGAGUUAAAACUGUUGAAAUUAGACCAAAGAGAGUUUUAAGCAACUGCAAGGACAAUUGAAGGAUCUGGCAUGGACCUUCUAAUUUUGUGUCCAUUCUCAUUGGUCAUAUAGUUAGCCUCGUGAGUAAAUUCAAACUAUCUUGGAUUUUGCCUAGUUUGUUGUAUCAACUAAUGGAUAGUUGAGCAUGCAGGGUUAGGUACAGGAAGGACCUGUAAUUUCGGUAGUGUCUUUAGUUUGUAGUUUAGUACCCUUAUGGAAUCCUCUAGGAAAGAAAGAGAUAAGAGUAUUUUUGGUUUUUUUUUCUUUUGGAGACGGAAGGUUUUGUUAUUAGCAUCCACAAAUGGGGUAAAAUGGCAGAUCUCUAGCUGAUAUUGGGCAUGCUAGUUCAGGUCAUUAGGCCAGUGAUCCGGGUGGCUCCUAUGAGAUAAAUCUUCAAGUUGCUGCAAGUUAAAAAUGCAAUAGGGUGAUGGAAAGGCUGAAUGUAACAUGGGUGGAAUUCAUAAAAAAGAUAAAAAUCUCAAUAUUGAAUGGUGACUUGUCUUACUAUCAAGCCAAAUGGCUGGAAAGGAUCAUUGUAAUUAAACCAAGGUUGUGAUCAAAUGGUACUUGUAGAGGAACGAAUUUACGAUUUCAUCUUAGAGAAUUGAUAGUUAGGAGUGUUCAAGCAAACUAACAAAUUCAAAUGUAAUCGAGCUGUAUAAACUAGUGCCAAAAACACCUACCAGAUUUAGAAGAACUCGUAUGAAGCAAUGUUAGGGCAAGGGCUGAAGAUGAGAGAACGAUAGCACAUAGUAUUUCAAGGCGUUGGAUCAACCACUCAUUUGCUGUGAAACUGUAGAAGAAUGGACUUGCAUUUAUGUCAAUGAAGUCCAAAUUCUUUGAAAAGUGUCUAUCUUCCUCCCCGAAAGCUCUAAUUGUCAUAGCACCGGCAAUGGACUCAGCAAGAUGGCUUGCAACAAAGGACUUCGUCGUGCCAUUGAUUCGCAUCAAUUCUUUUCCAGCAGCAAAGUAGUACCUCUGGUUGUUAAAAUGAAAACAAACAUGAUCAAUUGCUGAGAAGCCAAGAGAAGUACAAAAUAUCUUACAGGGAACACACGCCUAAAUGAGGAGGGAAGCAGCUGCCUCUACUACAUCUAUGAAAACAUGAGACAGCAGUGUAUUACCUGGAUGAGUAUACUAAGAUAAAUUGUUGGUAAAAUGACAAACACAAGUUCCCAGGCAAGAAUAGCCAAUACUCCAAAACUGGCAUAAGUAGUCACAGCUGCCCCAAUAGCAAAAGUAAAUUUGAAGGCCAUAUCAAGGUCAACCACACUUAAAUCAGAAGAUACCUACAAAACGACAAUAAAAAAAUAAGUCUUCUGUUGUUUGUAAUAUGCAUAUAUUUUAAGCAUCUUACCCGACUGAGUAUCCUUCCCAGAGGUGUCGAGUCAUAAAAGGACAUUGGUGCUCGAAAAAGGGAGCUCAGCAGUGUAGAAAAAAUAGAUUGCGAUGCCCCAAGGCCUACAACAACAACAAAAAAUGAUCGGAGCAACAAAAAUAUUGAUAAGCUUAAUCCAAUCCCUGUGUAUACUGCAAUCAGUUUCAAUUGGCUAACACUAGGAUUCUGGACAUUUGCAGCCAACCAAUAGUUUUGCACCAACUGCGCAACAAUGAAUAUGAUAUGAGAUAGAUUUGCCAAAAAGAAGUAGAACAAUCCCUUGCUAUAUUUCAAGUAUUGUAGGUAAGGCUUCAGACCAGUGUCUCCCGUUUCUCUUUCUUCUUUCUUAAUUAACUGUUCUCCUAAUGAAUCUCUUAACUGUUUUUCGCUGUCAAUCUUUUGUAUCUCUCCCUUCGGAAUUUUAGACUUCUGGGUAGAAUCAUGCUCAGGUUGCCUCUCAGAACCAACUGUGGCAUUGUGUGCAAUGAUAAGGUCCUGGAACUCUUGACUAGAGUGCAUCAGCUGGUCAAAGGUAGCAGCUUGCAGGAUCUCCCCUUCGGACAUUAACUGCCAAUAAAAUUAGUCAUUUGAACUGUUUGAUUUAAAAGCAUCUGUUACUCAAAGAUUGCCUUCCAGAUUUAGAGAUUAUUUGUUAAGAAAGGAAAAUGAAGUCAAAUCAGAGUUAAAGAAGGAUAUCCAAGAAAGUAACUGUACUGACCAAAACCGAAUCGAAUGCAGGGAGGAAGUCCACUUGGUGGGUCACAAGUAUGACUGUCUUCAUUGAUAGAGCUCCCAUGACAUAUUCCUGGCCACAACAGGCAUUAGCGUUCACUCUGAAAGCAUAGCAUAAUUUCUGACAAAGGAGAACUGUACUUACAUUAAAUAGAUUGGUUGCAGUAUGUGCAUCAACCGCACUAAAUGGAUCAUCCAGGAGAUAUACAUCUGCAUCCCGAUAUAAAGCACGUGCAAGUUGAACCCGCUGUUUCUGUCCACCACUCAGAUUAACACCUCUUUCUCCUAUUUCAGUGAGAUCACCGAAUGGAAGCAUCUCAAGGUCCUUCACUAGGGCACACUUCUCAAUAGCCUCUCUGUAUCUGUAAGGAUCCAUAGCAGACCCAAACAGAAUAUUUUCUUGUAUUGUCCCUGUUGGAAUCCAUGCUGUCUGAGAGACGUAAGCAAUCUUCCCAUAAACUCGAACCUGGAAAAGAUGGAUCCAGAAUCUGUAUUAAGACAUUUGUCUAAGUAAGUCUCCUAGAACCUUUUAGGACUCAUGAAGUUUUCUACCUUCCCUGUUUUCUUCCAUGAUGUUAAUAUCUACCAAAUGAAGUGUGUAUAAAUCAGGAAUGAUGCAUUACUUCUUCAGUUUUUAAGUUUGUUUUCUUUUGUAUUCCUACUUAGGAAACCAUGAAAGAAUAUAAAAAUUCUCUGCCGCUUUGUUGUAAUUCAUCUCAGAACAACUGUGCACAAAGUAGCUGUUGAGUAUUUAUUCUAGUCCCAUGGAUGAGGAAGAAAAUGGAAUUGAAAGGGGUACUUACUAUGCCAUUAACGUGUGGAACUUCUCCAAGAAUAGCAGCUAAUAGUGUCGAUUUACCUGAGCCAACCUCUCCACAAAUAGCUACCUUUUCCCCAGGCUUAACCACCAAAUUUAUGUUUCGUAGAGUAGCCCUUGUAGAGUUAUCCUCCCAUGAAAUUCUUUUGCUCUUGAUAAAAACGGAUUCUGCGAGCUCCAUCCCAUCACACAUCUUCCUUACAUGUUUGUUCUGCAGCUCUGGUGCAUCAAGAAACUUUGCAAUCCGAUCUAACGAAACCAUGGCCUCAAUGAAUGCUGAAAUGACAUCAGGGAUUAACCUAAUUGGCUCCUGGGCAAUGCACAAACUUGCCAUAAAUGUGAAAACAUUGCUAGCAGAGAGAGUAGUUCCAAGAAAGUAGCAUGCCCAGAAAGUAACAGCUGAUACUACAAUGGGAGAUGACCAAAACAGAAUCAGAUUGUACCCUUUCUGUGACAGAACUGACAAUAACCACUUGAAUUCCUCUUUCCUUAACCGUUCUAUGACAUUCUUGAAAUGAGUCUCCCAAGCAUACAGCUUCAGACUUUUCAUGUUUGUAAGUGCCUCUGCAAAAGCCUUCAGCCUCUUGUCCUGUGUUCCCAUGAGCAUUUUCUGGUACUUAUGUUGUAACCUUCCCAUAGGAGAGUUUGCAACAACAGUCAAUAUUACUACAAACAGAGCUGCUAUAGUUGCAAGCCCCACCGAAUAGUAAAUAAUAAUCAAUGCCAGACACAACUGGACGCUUGUUGACCAGAUCUGGUGAAACCAGUACGGGUAUUCACCUAUGUUGUAAGCAUCAAUAGUAACAAAGUUUAUGAUCUGACCAGGGGAAUAUGACCCCUUUGCAGCAUUUGAGAGCUUAAGCUGCUUCUGAUAGAUGGCUGCAGAUAGAAACGAUCUCACUUGGAGCCCAAUCAAUCUAGUUCGAAAGAACCAUUGCCUCUCUGAUAACGAUUCUAAGCAUUUAAUAAGAAAGAGCCCUCCUGUCAGUGCAUAACCUUCGUACUUAAAAGCUUCUCUGCCUUCAGCAACCAGGAUGAAGGCUCUAAGAAACAGAGGGCCAGUAGAAAGUGUUAGCACCUUCAUCAAUGCAAAGAAGCCAGAAAUCAAAAUCUGUUUCCGUUGCCACAACAAUAUAGUCGACAAAAUGGAAGGGGAGUCAGAUGACUGCUUUUUCUGCUUGUUCUGCUGUUCCAUGAACAUUAAGUAACACAUUUCCGCUCGAUCUUCCCUUCUUAGCUGUGGAAUGUCUUUGUCCUCGAGAGUUUUCUGCUUACCUUUCUUCAUCAACGAAUUCAACCACCAAAAUGACAGUCUACUAAUAAGCCCAGCUUUCUCAAAAGGAGGUAAGCUGGCAUCUGUAUUGAUUUUAUCACCACCACUGCCUCCUUCGCCUGGCAAAGGUGUAUAGAAGGCAGCACCAUCAAAUCCUGAAUCAGUUCCUGCAUAUUUUGGUUCCGAGAAAGUGCAGAACAUCAAUAGAAUCGCUCCAGGAAAAGAUAUAACAUCUAAAAUCACCUUAACUGAUACUGCAUCGCCCACAAUAGCUUCCCAGAAAGAUGUAACACAGGUAAAACCUGCAAUAGAGAAUGCAAGUACUGAACAGAGCCUCAGCCCUGCAUUAUGUAGAAGUUGAUGCCUCUUAAACCUCACAGCUAAACCCAGAAAAAACCAGGUGAAGCCUUGUAAUAAAACCACUAGCCACCCAUGCAGAGGUAGAAUGGUGUUCUCUUUAGUCAGCUUCUCUCCCACAAUCCAGAACCCCAAACCCAGAUAAACCAACCCUAAAC
This 17417-nucleotide long non-coding RNA is filed under the name Vitis vinifera (wine grape). RNAcentral's name for it is "long non-coding RNA (VVIN_LNC000331)". Lineage: Eukaryota; Viridiplantae; Streptophyta; Magnoliopsida; Vitales; Vitaceae. The record is from RNAcentral.